ACUCAAAGGAAUAGACGGGGACCCGCACAAGCAGCGGAGCGUGUGGUUUAAUUCGAGGCUACGCGAAGAACCUUACCAGGGAUUGACAGGAUGGUUGUAGGGAAGCGAAAGCCGACCGAGCCUUCGGGCCGCCAUCACAGGUGAUGCAUGGCUGUCGUCAGCUCGUGCCGUGAGGUGUUUGGUUAAGUCCACUAACGAGCGCAACCCUUAGGGCCAGUUACACGUGUCUGGCCCGACUGCCGGUUGCAAGCCGGAGGAAGGUGGGGAUGACGUCAAGUCAGCAUGUCCUUGAUACCCUGGGCGACACACACGCUACAAUGGCCAGCACAACGGGUUGCCAAGCCGCGAGGCGGAGCCAAUCCUAGCAAAACUGGUCUCAGUUCGGAUGGGAGGCUGCAACUCGCCUCCCUGAAGUCGGAGUUGCUAGUAACCGCCGGACAGCCAUACGGCGGUGAAUACGUUCCCGGGUCUUGUACACACCGCCCGU
Molecule: ribosomal RNA, 487 nt
Filed under: uncultured bacterium
Lineage: Bacteria
Description: partial 16S ribosomal RNA
Rfam family: Bacterial small subunit ribosomal RNA
Source: RNAcentral